UGUCCCACAGACCUUUUUCCAUCCCGGGUCGGCGAGCGCAGCUACCAGAGAGGCCACUGGGUUCCUUAGGUAAAUCUGUUUGCAACCCACGUUUGGGACCAGAAUACCCGAUGGCCUGCCUUGUGUCUCCCAUUGGUGGGUCCGGGUGGGGACGGUGAAGUAAAGGUGAAUUGCGGUGCAGAUUACUAACAGAGCAGGGGGUCUCUGUCUGCCACCUGAGGGCUGCCUGCUGGGAGACCCUCCAACUUCAUAGACACGAAGAGUGGAAAAGAACACGCCAGCCCCGGCGGCCGGCUCGGAGAUUAAACCCUGUUGGAAGGUAUGGAUGGUGUAUUUCUUCCGAUUCUGAGAUGUUGAUUUAGCUGUCCCAAACAUCACAUGAUGUGCUUCUCCAUAAUCCUGUACCCAAGUCAUUGCGGAUCUGCUGACAUGACUUUGGAUAUGCUGAGCCAGGGCAAAUAGAUUCUUUUGAAUUAUGCCAGUAGUGAGGAAGAAACAUGAGUACAGCUCUCAAAGUGGAAGAAAAGGUACUGAUUCUGCUCUGAGGACCAGUCCUGCGGAUGUGCAAGUUCAUCAGUGGUAGGACUAAAGUUUCUCCUGUCUUGUCUCUAACUUGAAUACACAUUCCACCCACAUUUUUGAGAGUACAGUAUCCUGAACUUGAAGUGUUUUCAAAUUAAUCUUUACAUUAAAUAAGCUAUGUUAAUUUUACCCACCCCAUAAUUCCCAUCCUUUUCUGCCUACAGUUCUCAGAAUUGUCAUUUACUAUUAUUUUGACCCAAGAAAAAUUUUUACUUAAAAAAUAUCUGUAGUUGGUAAUUUGUAGUAUUCAGAGUCCACGUAAAGUAAUACACAUGAACUCUUGUUGAACAUGAACCAUUACAUUCAAUAAAUCUUUUAAGGUGGUGAUUUGUCA
Molecule: long non-coding RNA, 916 nt
Filed under: Sus scrofa (pig)
Lineage: Eukaryota; Metazoa; Chordata; Mammalia; Artiodactyla; Suidae
Description: lncRNA (ENSSSCG00035075405.1)
Source: RNAcentral